UCCAAGCAUCAGGAGUGGCCUUGCGAAAGCGGGGUCCGGCAACCUGGUUUGGAGAAGCCAAGGUGCCUUGGAUGCUGUGACAGAAUUCUGUUACGGUGACCGAUGUGCGAAUGUUUACAUUCGAACAGAAUUUCUCUCGGG
RNAcentral lists this non-coding RNA (141 nucleotides) under unclassified sequences. RNAcentral's name for it is "SAM-I-IV sequence". It matches the Rfam family "SAM-I/IV (S-adenosyl methionine) riboswitch aptamer". From Rfam's summary of the family: It is found upstream of a number of genes which code for proteins involved in methionine or cysteine biosynthesis. It has been found mostly in the order Actinomycetales. The record is from Rfam by way of RNAcentral.